Non-coding RNA from Schistosoma rodhaini, 46 nucleotides. NCBI's taxonomy places the organism in Eukaryota, Metazoa, Platyhelminthes, Trematoda, Strigeidida, Schistosomatidae. The record is from Rfam.
ACACUGCUGAGGAGUCCCACAUAAGGACGAAAUGGCCAUCCAGUGC